CUGAAUUGACUACAAAUGGAUGAUCUGAAUAUGCACUUCAUAACCAGAACCAAAGAAUGACACAAUGAAAUCAUGGUUCAAAAGCACCCCAUAACAGCAUUGGCUAUCGUCUAUAACAUUUUUUGAAAUCAUAAAAAUAUGCCAGUAAAACAACAUUGCUCGCUCCCCAGUCUGUAGAAAGCAGACAAGAAUUUGCACUUCCAACCUAAUAAGUAUCAACAGAUAUCAAAGAAAUAUAGAUAUGCACCAACAUUGACCACUCCUUUCAUGAACUUGAUCGCUUGUCAUGUUAUCCAUCCUUCAACAGCACAUCUGAUGACUCAUUUUCACUUGAUAAUUUGCACAUUCUUUGUCUAGAAUAAAGUGCAGCCCCCGAUACAAGUAAUUCACUCAAGUGAAGGAUUGAAUACAGAAUUGACAUCACAUUGUCUACAGAUGUUAAAAACAUAAGAAACGAUCAGCAUAUCCACAUUGUAUAGUGCUCAAGCUCAAACAGUCCUAAAGGGAGUAUCAUUUAAUUUUUUGAAGGACAAAAAAACUGGACACCAUUUUACUGUACUGAACUACAACUAAAUGCAAAACCUUUCACUGCACCAUGGGAAAAGAUGGGACAUGCACGGCAUCUGAUGCAUCUAAUAACUAUAGUCCAGGGAUAUAAAAAGUAGCUGAUUCAAUAUUUAUUGACCCAGAGUAUGCUUGACUGAAAUAGUACAAUGUAUGUUAAUCAACUAAAUGGCAACUAUAGAAAGGGAAAUGUGGCUAAGAUGCAACCUUGAUGCCUGCCAUCAGUUCAUUAGUACCAACCACAUCACGAAGAGCAAGCCAUCUGGAAAAAAUCCAAUUCCCGUCACAAAAAUCCGACUUCACCUUCCAUCUUAUGCAUAAAUAGCCAAUGGCUCCCACAACAAUAACAGUUAAACAGUAGCCUACAGAGUCUGCGAGAGAAUAAUUUUGCUUCGGUCGUUAUGUAAGAAAACAAACAAGUGUUUGCUGAACUUAGCUAAAUGAAAUACCAAAAUAUAGAUUACAGGCAAACCUGCACACAUCUGCUAAGCUACAGGGCCGACAAGAGAAUGAUUUCGCUUCAGCGUGCCUUUGUGCGCCUCCUGGGUGGUCAGGUGCGCCCUUUUGCGUGAAAAGCGGACCUAUGUC
This 1152-nucleotide long non-coding RNA is filed under the name Triticum aestivum (bread wheat). RNAcentral describes it as "long non-coding RNA (TAES_LNC020318)". The record is from RNAcentral. Lineage: Eukaryota; Viridiplantae; Streptophyta; Magnoliopsida; Poales; Poaceae.